AGAGUUUGAUCAUGGCUCAGAACGAACGCUGGCGGCGUGGCUUAGGCAUGCAAGUCGAACGGGAUUGCCCGCAAGGGCAGUCCAGUGGCGAAAGGGUGAGUAAGACUCGGGCAAUUUGUCCCCGGGACGGGAAUAGCCGCGGGAAACUGCGGGUAAUACCCGAUGGGCUCACGCGAACUGCGGUUUGCGCGAGGAAACGGUGGGGAUCCGCAAGGACCUUCCGCCCAGGGAGGAGCUCGAGGCCUAUCAGGUAGUUGGCGGGGUAACGGCCCACCAAGCCUACGACGGGUAGCCGGACUGAGAGGUCGGCCGGCCACACUGGCACUGAGACACUGGCCAGACUCCUACGGGAGGCUGCAGUCGAGAAUCUUCCGCAAUGGGCGCAAGCCUGACGGAGCGACGCCGCGUGGAGGAAGAAGGCCUUCGGGUUGUAAACUCCUGUCACGACUUACGAAUCCGCUCGGUUCAACUGCCGAGCGUCGACGAAGGGUCGGAAGGAAGCCACAGCUAACUUCGUGCCAGCAGCUGCGGUAAGACGAAGGUGGCAAGCGUUGUUCGGAUUCACUGGGCAUAAAGGGCGCGUAGGCGGUUCCGAAGGUGGCGUGUGAAAUCCCCCGGCUCAACCGGGGAAGUGCGCGCCAAACCACGGUUCUUGAGGGCGGUAGGGGGGACUGGAACUCUCGGUGGAGCGGUGAAAUGC
Molecule: ribosomal RNA, 700 nt
Filed under: uncultured bacterium
Lineage: Bacteria
Description: bacterial SSU rRNA
Rfam family: Bacterial small subunit ribosomal RNA
Source: RNAcentral